CUUAUAUAUAUUAUAUUUAAAAGAUUACGGAACGAUUUUUUUAAAUGAAGAAAUUGUAUUGUGUUUUAUAAUUUCCAUCUUCUAUGGCUAUACUGAACGGAAAACGGAAAAACGGAAAAAAAUUUGCAGAAGAAACAUUGCGAUAAAUAAAAUCCGACAUUUUCUAAAAUACUUGUGAUUAAACGUUAACUAUGAAUUAUAGGUACAUGUUUAUUUUCUUCUCUCAAGAACCUUGCCAAUUUCGAUACGAUUAAAAUUCUAUUUCCGCGUACACCUGACAUCCGUAAGAAAAUACGUUCCCGUGGAAAUUAUUUAUAAUUAUAUUCCGAUGAAAACUGAUGCCUUGUUAAUUAUUAUAAAGUGCUUGAUUGCAAAACUAUUUAAUGUCUUCGUCGUGAAGAUAAUCUUGAGAAAGCUAUAGAAGAAAAAUACCAGAAAAGUCAACGAAAAGUCUUUUCUCGCCUCAGAAGAAACAAUUUUGAUCUCGUCACAGAAGAUGUUGCCUCGUUAUGUCAUGAAGAUUAUGCAAAAACGUGAGAACCUGUUUGGUGUUGCGGCGGUGCGUUUAAACGCGCAAGUUUUACGUACUUACACGCCAAACAUUUUUAAUUCCAUUGUAUUCUCGCAGACCGAGAUGCUUCACGAGAAUGCUUCUUGUCAGCCGUUGUACAUGCAAUGGCAAAGCAGGCCGAUAAUGCGUGGCUAUUGAUGUUUUUCUACACCUGAAGAUCUGCUCUUGCACCAUCAAUCAAUAACGUUGCUUGAAAAUAAUUGACGAUUGUGUAUAACUUGACAAUCGGAAUGAGAAAUAAUGUUAUUGCAAAACAGUCAUUUAUGGAUGUCCAAUGAUAUACCACCCGGAGACAUACUGUUAUUUCUCGCCACCGCCGGUCAUGGCGAAGGUCGGAUCUCCAGACGAGGGACAACCUGUUGACAUAAAAUUCUCACAGUAUCCAUUCCCAAAUUUACCAAUUUUGCCCCCUACUUGUCCCCCACCAACAUUAGCGUCUCCGUUUCCUGAAAACUCAUUUAAACCUCCUACUGAACCGCUUAUUAAAUCUUCUACUGAACCUUCUACUGAAUCUACUGAACCUUCUACCGAUCCUUCUACUUACCCUUCAACCGAAUCUUCUAAAUACUAUUGAUCGAUCGCUGACAAUCAGUGAAGUAAAUCGACGAAGGAAGCAUGUCGAAUCCAAAGAAAAUCGCGUCACCUCCGAAGUGAUAGAACGGCUGUCGGGAGCAUUGGACCUGACUAUCGAUCAUCGCCAACUCGUUUCGGACAUCGCUUCGUGAGGUGUGCGGUCAACGCUGCUACAUACCCAGUGGACCGAGCAAAUCGCAACCAGUCAAGAAUUGAGGAACUCGUGGAAAAGUCGCGAAAAAGUCGCGGGAUGUUCUCAGACGUUUUUCGUCCUUUGAUUUCCAAUCGUGAUUGCGGUUUCUCCUGGGAAGACGGAAGUAGAGUUUCCGAUGAAACGAUUGCUACUUUACGAAUAAUCUCACGAUGAUUGAUGCCAUCGCGAUCUUCCAUGGCGAUAGAUCGAACGAUCGUGAACCGUCACGAGCCAACGUGAUCGGCAAGACCCGCAGGGCGUGUAGCUUCAUCCAUUUCCGAGCGGUCACUCGCGUCUCUCUUGUGAAGACGGACACUGGGUUGUACACGAUCGCUACGCGCGGAUUUUCGUUUCGGACGACACGAAAUUGACGGAGCUUGAUAUUACGAGGCUGCUCUCGCGAGGCAGCUCGAUCAAGCAGAAUCCCGGAGAACGAGAACGUUGCGGCAUUCCGCUUCUGAGACUCCCCUCGAGCCAUCCUUGCUCGGCGAGUUUGUGUCCCGCGUCCUCCUCUCAUGUGUCCGCCCAUUUUAAAUUCGGUGCGAGAACGCGAUGGCAAGAUGCAAAAGCAGCGGCAAGCCCCCGCUGCGGAGAGACGAUCGUAAGUGCGACAGGCGUCAAGCGGAUCCCUGAGGAAUCUAUCCGAUCGUGAGCGACGGUUUUAUUCGCUGGUCCUUCCCAACGACGCGUGUGGCCAAUUUCGCGUGUGGAAAACCGGACACUGGAUGACGGCGGUGACCGCGCAUGCAAGCGAGGCGCUGGCCAAAUUAUUCGACGGACCUAUAGUGAUUUUGACGCUUUCCGCUUUAUUCAUAUAUAUCACGUAUAUAUUGACUACUGCAAACGCUAUUUUCUCAAUUUAUAUAUGUUAUUUAAUGCUACUGGAAGGGGUGCGAAACGUGCAGCUACGCAUGAUCGAGCAUAAUUGAGUAAGACGUUCAAAUUUCAAUCGAUCAUAUAAUACUUAAAUCUAUAUGAUAGAUUUUUUAAAAUUUUUAUGCACAUAUUCUUUUUAUUCCUCAAAGGUCGAAUAAGAAUAUAUCUUUUAUUCUUAUUAAGCAAUAUCCAUGCAAAUCAUACUUGUCCAAUGCUCAAAGAACAGAUAUAUAACAUCUCUUUGCGCCUAAUAUUGUAAAACAUAAGUGUCAUUAUCGCAGCAAUUAACGUGAGUUAAGCAUUAAUCUUGGUGACGAGUAAAGCAUUAAUCUUGAGAUAUCGUGAGUCAAUCCAAUCCCAUAUUAAAAUCCUUUUUUUUUCACGACAAAUGAUAAUAUCAGCCGCUAUUCUUUGAUAAUUAAAACUUUUCGUACGAAGGCGAGCGCAUCUGCGCGCAAAAUCGUGGCGGAUGUGUCAGUUCGUGCGACGUGGUACAAUAAAAUAGCAGCUCAAAAACUGGUCGCUCCAGUUCGCGGCAAAUUAAUUUACAAAUAAGAGCACCGAAAAACACUGUCCCUUCGAUAUACACUCUCAUUCUCUUCUGCUUGCUCCUUUUCUCGAAUGCCCCUCUUCCGUCCCUCUUGCUUCACGCGAAACACGUUUCGAGCAACAAUUUGAUGCAUAGCUUGAUCGCGAAUAUUACCACAGAAUACUUAAUGACUCAUUUCCGUAAAUGAAUUUGCGUUUCAAAAAUGGGCAUGUGCGCCGUGCUGCGUCAGAUUUAUCAUCAUCAUCUCGCUUAAUUUGUAACUAAGGAAUUAAUUUGCAUAUCAACUAAGCUUUCAUGUAUACAAGAUCACACUUGAGAAUUUAUAUUUUAUAUUUAAAAUUUAUGACUAAAAUUUAUUUCGAUACAUAUAAGUGUGUUAUGUCGCUUAGUGGAGUUUUCUGUUUUUUUUUUGCUUAGAUAGUUUAAGAUUAGAAGUUCAACUAGAAUUAAUUUAAUAGUUACACACACACACACACAAUAUAUAUAUAUAUGAUUAUAUAUAUUUUAUUCUCUUAUACAUCGUACUGGGUAUUCUUCAGAUAUUCCAGCAGGCUCGCAUUUGCAUGAAAAACACAACAUCGUUCUACUUUCGCUUUGCGAAUGUCUGAAUCGCGAAGAGAAAUUCUCACGGACACCAUACGACGAUUGACUUUUAAUUAACCAUCGCACAGCAUUACACAAAAUGCACGCACUUCGUGCGAUCCUUUUGUUACGUGUGAGACUCGCGUCAGAUGUCCGUACGAAGACGACGUACGCAGAAACCUAUCCAUGGGUGGCGGCCGAUCCUAUAAUUUUUGGCGUGCUGGUAUUUAUUGUCGUAACCCGCAAUUUUAAUUUAAGGCAGUUCACUUCGACAUCGAUGUAAAUAAAACAGUGCGAUUGGAGCGCAAUCGCGUUAUCAUCUUAAAGCAUCUGACGGGGAAACGGGGCGAACAGGUAAAUCGAAUUACACGACGCGACUUGUUGCAUUUGAUAGAGUUGGAGAGCAUUCUGUUCCAGAUUCGCUAUUCUCAGAAGUUACAUCAAUAUCGUUAAACGAUAUUCGUAACGUUUCCGUGAAACUUAGAAUCGCGAAGUGUCAAGAUAAUGGUCGCUGUAAACGGCAUGCAUUAUUCUCACGUCCGUUACCUUUGCGUGUGAAACAUGUGUCUAUUGUGGGUCGCAUAUAUCUGCACUCACACCUUGUCACCUCGGUCAAGUACGUAUGCGUGCGUUCGCACGCAUGUUUUGCAAAGUGUCAUGUGCAACGACGUCGAAUUCUCUGAUCUUCUAGAAAACAGGAGGACUCAUUUAUAAUUUUUCAGUGGUCUGUAUUGCCGGAAAAACUAAAAGAAAUUCGGAUUUUAUAUAAUUAAUUAGACCGCCGGGUUAUCAAUUAAAUUAAAAUGAGAUAUUUAUCUUAUCUUGACAAUUUAUUUUUUGUCUGUGAAGUAUUCGAGGAAUUCGAAAUUGAAAGGAGAGGUUUAAAUUAAUUUUUAAUUGAUAAUUUUAUUAAAAUUAUUAAAUUGAUUUAUUAAAAUUAAUUAAAAUUCUAUUUUUAUUUGACAAACUUCGCCGUGAUGUAACGCAGGUCUCGUACUUUGAACGUUAAUGUCCACACGUUUCGUUGAGAUAAUCUCUAUAUUUGUCGGCUGUUGCACUUUUCUGAGGUACACUAUUUUAUAGAGAAUGGAGAUUCGACAAAUUCAACACGAACGUGAGGUGCUGCGCUAAAACGCGCGUAACAGAUUCGCUCGACCUUGCGAGUUUUACAUACUGUCGCCAUAUUUUUUUAAGCAAUAACUUUUAACUGUAAUCGUAAUAUAAUCUAUUUUGUAAGUGUAUUGUUAGAGGGGUACACGCGUCCUUUCACUUUAGAUAAAAACACUAUUGCGCUGUAUGAAUAAAAGCGCACACGUUCGAGUCUAAGCGAGUGACGAAGUAUCAGAUUAUAUAUUAUUGGUGUCAACGACGACGAUUAAUUCGGCCUUUAUACAUAUACCUAUCGUUCGUGAUAUCUAUAUUUUUCUUUAAUUAUAAGUACUUAUUGAGGGACGUAUUCGUGAAUAAUUUCCCAAGUAGCAAGCUAAUGUUAUUUAUCGUUAUUUUGAUGUCACAUUAACGUCUUUGACAAUAUUGCAACGUCAAGAUGACGACAAAUAACGUCCGCUUGCUACUUGGGUUUCCGAAGCCAGCUCUCUAAAAGGAAGUAGUUGUUAAUUGCUCCUUUUUCUUUUUCCUAAAAAGCUGGAAUCACAUAAAGCACGAUUUCUUGAAUGAUUAGCUUGCACGCUGCUAUGCCUGCUCUGAUGCAUGCUAGAUCCUAGACAUCAUGCAUUGAGCGAGGCACGUUGGCAUGCAUGAUUGCAUGCACCAAUUAAAACAUUGAAAACAGUCACGAUCGAGCAGACGAUCGACAGCAUCGCAUCUUCAGAAAAGAAACAAUUGUGCUAAUUUCGUAGUACAAGUCAAACGUCAGAUUUGGAUUAAAAAAUAGAGACGUUUAAUUGGUGCAUGCAAUCAUGCAUGCCAGAGUGCUUUAUUCAAUGCGAGAACGUCUAUAGGUCUAGCAUGCAUUGAAUGCAUCAGAGCAGAUAUAGCAGCGUGCAAGCUAAUCAUUCAAGAAAUCGUGCUUCGUGCAAUUCCGGUUUUGAGGAUCGCUCGUUUCACGCAGUUGAAACGAUCGAUGGAGGGAUAGUGUGUUUGAUAUUUGACGUGUAUAUUCUAUAAUAGAGUAUUUUCUAGCACAAGGAGGGUCGUAAAUUCUCUCGGUUGUGAGCGCGGUUGUGAAGAAGAGCUCUCUUGCGAAAUGCGGGGUGCUCGUUCUCCGAUCGAGAAGACUCUUCUAAGCGUUAUUUUACACUUGAUAAUAUUUUCUUUUGUUGGAAAAAUUGUAAUAGACACCAUUUUAGUUAGUAAUCGACAACUAUACGUACAUACAUUGGGAUACUUUUAACCAAUUUAUCUAAAAUGAAUUGUGUAUGUGCGCUGUAACGCAGCUGCAAAGUUAACCUCGUAUGAAUAUUGUUGUUUGAGCUGUUCAAGAUCUAAUAUGAGGCGAAUACGCAAUUUUCAUACUAAAUAAAAAGCUAAAAAAGAUACACCAGCACUUAUGUCUCCGUAUGAAGUGUCGAUCUACACGUAAAAUCGCUAGAUCGUGAGAUCGAUCGCAAUCGAUCGAGGUUUCGCGUCUUUAUUUUCCUGGCUCGCAUCGAACGAGUCAGACCGACAUUGCUAGGGUGUGAAAAAUGUAAAACUUUGCGGAUCGUUUUUAACAGCUCGUAACCAGUGAAACUUUUCGGAAUGAAUUCCGAUCGUUCCUUAAUACGUGCUCAAUAACAGUAUCCGAGUUAAGAAAAGGAAUGGGUAUCUACUUAAUACGACCUAUUUACUUGUUCUAAUAAAUUUGGCUGUUGUAGUUAUUUAACCAACGAUUCGUAGAGAAAGAUAUUGUGUGUUGGAAACGAGUGCGGUGUAAUGACAACGAUCGUAAGAUGUGGACGGUGAUUAUGAUUAUGAUAUUAUGGAAAUGGAAGGGCAGCAUGGAGGAAAAUGAGGAAGCGAAAUAUGGAGCGUACGCGUAUUAUUGUCUAUUGUCUAAGUGUUACGUUAUAUGGCAUAUAAAUAAAACAGUACUGCUAUAUAUAAUCACA
Molecule: long non-coding RNA, 6395 nt
Organism: Temnothorax curvispinosus
Lineage: Eukaryota; Metazoa; Arthropoda; Insecta; Hymenoptera; Formicidae
Exons: 3
Source: RefSeq, a predicted model, not a curated record